ACACCUAAAUAAGACCCCAAUUUUGUUUUAUUUUUCUAGGGUUUUGGUGCUGUGUUUUUAGGGUUUUUGGAUUGGGGGCUAUAACAAGUGAAGAAGAAGAGUGAAGGGAGCCAGAAGCUCAGAAAUCAGACUGUCAAUACUAAUAAGCAGGUAAUCCAGUACGGGAGGUGUUGAAAGAUGCAUGUCAGAAGUUGAUGUUGACGUGCCAGCAUGUGAGGAGCUCAUUGGACAAGGCUGUUGAUGAUUAUAGAUGGAAUUCCACCACAUAUAUAGAUACCAAAUAAUGGUUGAGAUCGAUGUGACCAAUUGCAAUCUUCAUGUUAUGGUUUUAGCUGAAUGCAACACGAUAUGUUUGAUCCAAUUCAAUCAGUGUGUUUGGAUAUGAUUCGUGUUUCUCAUCAUUUUGGAAGUUGGAUACAAAUUUCUUCA
Populus euphratica (Euphrates poplar) is the source of this 429-nucleotide long non-coding RNA. RefSeq lists it as uncharacterized. Lineage: Eukaryota; Viridiplantae; Streptophyta; Magnoliopsida; Malpighiales; Salicaceae. The transcript has 2 exons. The record is from RefSeq and is a predicted model, not a curated record.